CACCUUUAAUCUAUAUGACGUCACGUCAUCGAUUGCAGUCACUGUUGCAAAGGCUUUAUCAAAACCCUUAUCUGUAUGACGUCAUGUCAAACCUAUAAUCUGUAUGACGUCAUUUCAAUCCUCCUUAUCUGUAUGACGUCAUGUCACAUAAAAAACAUCUUCUUGAGAUAUAUGUAUAUAAUAAAAUGUAUAUGAUAUGGCUUUUUCAAUAUCACACACCGUAUCAACCCUCAAC
This 235-nucleotide long non-coding RNA is filed under the name Mytilus galloprovincialis (Mediterranean mussel). Lineage: Eukaryota; Metazoa; Mollusca; Bivalvia; Mytilida; Mytilidae. The record is from RNAcentral.